This is a long non-coding RNA of Hevea brasiliensis (rubber tree), 766 nucleotides long. RefSeq lists it as uncharacterized. The transcript has 5 exons. Lineage: Eukaryota; Viridiplantae; Streptophyta; Magnoliopsida; Malpighiales; Euphorbiaceae. The record is from RefSeq and is a predicted model, not a curated record.
GUUGUUUUGGCUUAUGCUGUCAAUGCUCUAGAUAAACAUGCAAGAAUUCUCUCUUGAGUUCACCCAUAUUUUGGUGUGAGAUUAAAAGCAAAUCUGUUGCUUUUCUCCCCAAAGCCAAAUAACCUUUUAGGGGCCGGAAAAAAACCAAAGAAUCAUAGAUAUAAGAUGGCAUUUCGUUUGGUGUUGCUGCAGAUAUGUGCUGCAUUAUGGCUUCCAUACAUUGUCCCUAACAAUUGUUUCUGUCUUUUCCAGAAGGGAAGAAUUUAGCUGGAGAGUUGAUAUUUUUGGAUUAUUUCCUGACUUGAUGUGUUCUAUUUGCUAUAGAAAAGUGGUGAGGGUGCAUAUGUUAGCAGAGCUCGCAAGCGACAUGCAAUAAAGGUUGGAACUGUGGUUGGAUGAGGAAAUACUCCGCAUCUCCGAUCCUUGAUUCCAGUUUACACUGGAAGCGUUGGUUGGAUGGAGAUGCCAAAAAUGCAACAACUGAGAGAAGAGAACACAGCCUGAUGGAGAAAUUGAAGUGCAAGAGCUUGGUAUUGCAAGCCGGGACACAUAUGCCGUGAACAAUUUCUGUGAGAUUAAGUCUAAGAAACGUAGAAAUGCAGAAGAGCAUUGAAAACUGCCGUGGGUUCCUGAUUCUUUUCUACACUCAUUGUACCUAUUAAUUUCAACUUUUUUGUAUGGCUAAUUCAAGAAAUUUUACUAGUAUAUAUUUUGUUUGAAUGAAUUCUGCGUCCAAUGCAUUCAAUCCAUAAUCAUUAAGCAUUAA